CCUUAGUUGCCAGCAUUCAGUUGGGCACUCUAAGGAGACUGCCGGUGUUAAACCGGAGGAAGGUGGGGAUGACGUCAAGUCCUCAUGGCCCUUAUGGUCCAGGGCUACACACGUGCUACAAUGGCCGGUACAAAGGGCUGCAAGACCGUGAGGUUGAGCGAAUCCCAGAAAGCCGGUCUCAGUUCGGAUUGGAGUCUGCAACUCGACUCCAUGAAGUUGGAAUCGCUAGUAAUCGCGGAUCAGCAUGCCGCGGUGAAUACGUUCCCGGGCCUU
This 273-nucleotide ribosomal RNA is filed under the name uncultured Desulfuromonas sp. RNAcentral's name for it is "partial 16S ribosomal RNA". It matches the Rfam family "Bacterial small subunit ribosomal RNA", at positions 1109 to 1382 of the family's 1533-position model. Lineage: Bacteria; Pseudomonadati; Thermodesulfobacteriota; Desulfuromonadia; Desulfuromonadales; Desulfuromonadaceae. The record is from RNAcentral.